This 66-nucleotide transfer RNA is filed under the name Trigonopterus triradiatus. RNAcentral describes it as "tRNA-Ser". The record is from RNAcentral. Lineage: Eukaryota; Metazoa; Arthropoda; Insecta; Coleoptera; Curculionidae.
AGCUAAUGAACUUGUUAAGUAUAUACUUUGAAAGUAUAACAAAGAGAAAAAACUCUCUAUUAGCUU